This 485-nucleotide ribosomal RNA is filed under the name uncultured bacterium. Its description in RNAcentral is "bacterial SSU rRNA". It matches the Rfam family "Bacterial small subunit ribosomal RNA", at positions 30 to 507 of the family's 1533-position model. The record is from RNAcentral.
AUUGAACGCUGGCGGAAUGCUUUACACAUGCAAGUCGAACGGCAGCACGGGGGCAACCCUGGUGGCGAGUGGCGAACGGGUGAGUAAUACAUCGGAACGUGCCCAGUCGUGGGGGAUAACGUAGCGAAAGCUACGCUAAUACCGCAUACGAUCUACGGAUGAAAGCGGGGGAUCGCAAGACCUCGCGCGAUUGGAGCGGCCGAUGGCAGAUUAGGUAGUUGGUGGGGUAAAGGCUCACCAAGCCUUCGAUCUGUAGCUGGUCUGAGAGGACGACCAGCCACACUGGGACUGAGACACGGCCCAGACUCCUACGGGAGGCAGCAGUGGGGAAUUUUGGACAAUGGGCGAAAGCCUGAUCCAGCCAUUCCGCGUGCAGGAUGAAGGCCCUCGGGUUGUAAACUGCUUUUGUACGGAACGAAACGGCCUUUUCUAAUACAGAGGGCUAAUGACGGUACCGUAAGAAUAAAGCACCGGCUAACUACGUG